RNAcentral lists this ribosomal RNA (420 nucleotides) under uncultured bacterium. Its description in RNAcentral is "bacterial SSU rRNA". It matches the Rfam family "Bacterial small subunit ribosomal RNA", at positions 356 to 773 of the family's 1533-position model. The record is from RNAcentral.
AAGGAAUAUUGGACAAUGGGCGGAAGCCUGAUCCAGCCAUCCCGCGUGCUUGAUGAAGGCCCUCUGGGUUGUAAAGAGCUUUAGUCUGGGAAGAAACUUGUUUCUGCGGAAGCAACUGACGGUACCAGAAGAAUAAGCACCGGCUAACUCCGUGCCAGCAGCCGCGGUAAUACGGAGGGUGCAAGCGUUAUCCGGAUUUACUGGGUUUAAAGGGUGCGUAGGCGGCACUAUAAGUCAGGGGUGAAAGCCUACGGCUUAACCGUAGAAAUGCCUUUGAUACUGUAGUGCUUGAAUUAGAUUGAGGUCGGCGGAAUGUGGCAUGUAGCGGUGAAAUGCAUAGAUAUGCCAUAGAACACCAAUUGCGAAGGCAGCUGACUAAGUCUAGAUUGACGCUGAGGCACGAAAGCGUGGGGAGCAAAC